Molecule: long non-coding RNA, 1564 nt
Organism: Carlito syrichta (Philippine tarsier)
Lineage: Eukaryota; Metazoa; Chordata; Mammalia; Primates; Tarsiidae
Exons: 2
Source: RefSeq, a predicted model, not a curated record
UUGUUAAACAAAGAACAGGGUCUUUUGGGGAUCGACCUGCAAGACCUACUCUUUUAGAACAAGUGUUAAAUCAAAAAAGACUGUCAUUACUAAGAAGUCCAGAAGUAGUGCAGUUUUUACAGAAACAGCAGCAACUAUUAAAUCAGCAAGUUUUGGAGCAAAGACAGCAACAGUUUCCAGGAGCAUCAGUAUGAGGAAACUUGUCAAAAGGAUCUAUGUGUUUUUUUAUCUUAUUGUAAGAACUGAACAUAUUUUUAUACUAAAGAUAAAUGGGUAAUAUAUGCCAGUAGAAUAUAAACAUUUUCCUGUAAAUGUGUGUGUGCAUUUGAAGAUAAAUAAGUAUUGCACUUUGUGCUUCUAAUCCUUUCAGAUCACCAUGAGUUUGAAGAAAUUAGUUUAUCUUUCCAAGAGAACAUUUAAUUAAAAUUUAUUUUUAAAAUAUGUUCCUCUUCAGUCAUUGUUACUGAAGGUAAUGAAGCAGUUACUUUCUGUGGAAGUCAUGAAGUUAAUAGAUGUUAAUCUUGAAUCAUCUAGUUCACUGGUUCUCAUCAAGGGAAAGCUGGAAAUAUCUGGAUCUGUUUUUUGGUUGUGAUAGUGACCUUGAAAACGGCUGGGUUUUAGUGAGUGGGCCAAGAAUAAGAAAUGUUCUGUGAUGUCUGAUAUAGUCCAACACACUAAGAAUUCUCUCACCCUCAAUGCCAAUAAUACUCCUCUUAGGAAACAUUGAUGACUAUUUGUAGUGACAGCAUAUAGUUGGGGCACCUAGAAUUGAGUUCUUGUAAUAACCCUUCUUUGCAGUUAAGACUGGAGCUGUCCAAGAGGUAAGCAUAUUUUAUAUUUAUAAGGAAAGUGAUAAUUGUUUAGUAUCUAUGAAACUAGAAUGUGCAUCUCUUUUCAGAGAUGUGUUGGUAAAAUGUGAGAGAUGGAUUAAGUGCACUGGAAUGAAUGCAUCUCCUACAGUUGGCCUUUCUAUUUCAUGUUGCCUAUUAUUAUGAUAAUUUUUGAAGCAGAUACUCGUGUGUUGAAUUUAUAAACUGCAUAGAACUCAGCCCAUCAAUGCCAGGACAAAAUUAUUUUUCUUAUACCCAUUUUUCACUGAAGAAUAUGAGAAAGAUAUUCUUUUCAAAAAGGAGAACCUGAAAAUAAGAAUAACAUUCUAGCAUUUUGUCAUUGUUUUUCAAAAUUGAGCUAUUUAAGACUGUUAUUCCCAAGUAAUGUUCAAAAAUGAUAGGUCAUCUGAAGAGACACUUUUUUCUUGUAUUUCCACCUAGAAAAACUUUAAAAAGGCAAACCUAUCAUUAAGAAUUACAAAUUAAAUAUCAAGAAAGUAUAUCCAGUAUUAGGAUGAUAAAUGUAUAUGUCUCCAGUUUAACUGUCAAAAUUUGUUGCUUACCUGCUUUUUAAACUCUGAAAUAUAUAUCAAGUUAAACUUAGUCAUGGCUGUUUUAAGAAGUACUCAUGGAGAGAAAAAAAUGUCUUUGUUCAUUUUGUGUUUUAUACCCGCAUAUGUUCAAAAACUUUCUUACCAAAAUUAUUUAUUAAAGUAACAGUUGUUGAACUUUGA